RNAcentral lists this long non-coding RNA (526 nucleotides) under Lonchura striata (white-rumped munia). RNAcentral's name for it is "domestica (Bengalese finch) lncRNA (ENSLSDG00000016590.1)". The record is from RNAcentral. Lineage: Eukaryota; Metazoa; Chordata; Aves; Passeriformes; Estrildidae.
AAAAGAUUUUUUUUUUGUUUUGUUAAUAUGUCAUUCACGUAGCAUAUUAAUAUAAACAAUGUUCUGUUUUCAGUAUUUUACAGGCCAGCCAGGGAAGUAACUGAAUACACUUCCUUGGAGAAAGAAUAGAAGGCUCAGAAGAUGUCCAAAUCUGGUGCACCCCUGCUGCAUCAGGCAUAUUGUUCUAGGCUGCUGUGCAAAUGUGGCUGCCAGGGGCUUCUGGAGACCAUGACUAAUGAUGGAUUUGUGAAGCUUCUAUGUAGAUCCCAUGUCUUCUUGGCUGCCCAUAAGACAUGUGCACUCUUAGAGCAAAGAUAAUGAUUGCAAGCAACUUUUCUUGAGAGAAGGGGAGAGAGAGAGUGAAAUCAGGGCUCCUGUCAAAUAUUCCUGCUUCUCAGACUUUCCCAGUGACUACUAAAUGCUACAGUGACUUCCAGUGACUACUGCAUGCUGAAAUAUGGGCAAGUAGAUCUGUAUUCUGUGUUAAAAGGAACUGUUUGAAUGUCAAGGUCAUGAGAAAUUAUCU